GCCAGGCAUGGUGGCACAUGCCUGUAAUCCCAGCUACUCAGGAGGCUGAGGCAGGACAAUCACUUGAACCUAGGAGGUGGAGGUUGCAGUGAGCCAAGAUUUUGCCACUGCACUCUAGCCUGGGUGACAGAGUGAGACUCUGUCUCUA
Papio anubis (olive baboon) is the source of this 148-nucleotide unclassified non-coding RNA. It matches the Rfam family "Metazoan signal recognition particle RNA". From Rfam's summary of the family: The signal recognition particle (SRP) is a universally conserved ribonucleoprotein. It is involved in the co-translational targeting of proteins to membranes. The record is from Ensembl. Lineage: Eukaryota; Metazoa; Chordata; Mammalia; Primates; Cercopithecidae.